Molecule: small RNA, 501 nt
Filed under: Pan troglodytes (chimpanzee)
Lineage: Eukaryota; Metazoa; Chordata; Mammalia; Primates; Hominidae
Description: retained intron
Source: RNAcentral
UUCCUUUCUCCACAGAUCCUUUAGCUGCUUUAGUUGAGCUGCUCCUCUAGCAGCAGCUCCAGCCCAGGCAGCUCCUUGGGGCCAAGGCCUUUUCCAAGGGUCAGAAGCUGUGGGCAGGGCCAGGCUGAGGCCUCUCCUGAUCCUGUCCCCCUGUCCCUGGACCUCACUCCCACAGGCCAUGAAAUUAUUCACUGCGAUCCGGGAUGCCCUCAUCACUCGCCUCAGAAACCUUCCCUGGAUGAAUGAGGAGACCCAGAACAUGGCCCAGGACAAGGUUGCUCAACUGCAGGUGGAGAUGGGGGCUUCAGAAUGGGCCCUGAAGCCAGAGCUGGCCCGACAAGAAUACAACGAUAUACAGCUUGGACCGAGCUUCCUGCAUUCUGUCCUGAGCUGUGUCCGGUCCCUCCGAGCUAGAAUUGUCCAGAGCUUCUUGCAGCCUCGCCCCCAACACAGGUGGAAGGUGUCCCCUUGGGACGUCAAUGCUUACUAUUCGGUAUCUGA